AUACGUAGGGUGCGAGCGUUGUCCGGAAUUACUGGGCGUAAAGAGCUCGUAGGUGGUUUGUCGCGUCGUCUGUGAAAUUCCGGGGCUUAACUCCGGGCGUGCAGGCGAUACGGGCAUAACUUGAGUACUGUAGGGGAGACUGGAAUUCCUGGUGUCGCGGUGAAAUGCGCAGAUAUCAGGAGGAACACCGGUGGCGAAGGCGGGUCUCUGGGCAGUAACUGACGCUGAGGAGCGAAAGCAUGGGUAGCGAACAGGAUUAGAUACCCUGGUAGUCCAUGCCGUAAACGGUGGGCGCUAGGUGUAGGGGUCUUCCACGACUUCUGUGCCGUAGCUAACGCAUUAAGCGCCCCGCCUGGGGAGUACGGCCGCAAGGCUAAAACUCAAAUGAAUUGACGGGG
RNAcentral lists this ribosomal RNA (398 nucleotides) under uncultured bacterium. Its description in RNAcentral is "partial 16S ribosomal RNA". It matches the Rfam family "Bacterial small subunit ribosomal RNA", at positions 523 to 918 of the family's 1533-position model. The record is from RNAcentral.